RNAcentral lists this ribosomal RNA (253 nucleotides) under uncultured bacterium. Its description in RNAcentral is "partial 16S ribosomal RNA". It matches the Rfam family "Bacterial small subunit ribosomal RNA", at positions 524 to 776 of the family's 1533-position model. The record is from RNAcentral.
UACGGAGGGGGCUAGCGUUGUUCGGAAUUACUGGGCGUAAAGCGCGCGUAGGCGGCUUUGUAAGUUAGAGGUGAAAGCCCGGAGCUCAACUCCGAAAUUGCCUUUAAGACUGCAUCGCUAGAAUCAUGGAGAGGUGAGUGGAAUUCCGAGUGUAGAGGUGAAAUUCGUAGAUAUUCGGAAGGACACCAGUGGCGAAGGCGACUCACUGGACAUGUAUUGACGCUGAGGUGCGAAAGCGUGGGGAGCAAACAGG